AUUGCCCUAGUAACGGCGAGUGAAGCGGCAAUAGCUCAAAUUUGAAAUCUGGCCCCUUUUAGGGGUCCGAGUUGUAAUUUGCAGAGGGUGCUUUGGCGUUGGUAGCGGUCUAAGUUCCUUGGAACAGGACAUCGCAGAGGGUGAGAAUCCCGUUUGUGGUCGCAUGCCUUCGCCGUGUAAAGCCCCUUCGACGAGUCGAGUUGUUUGGGAAUGCAGCUCUAAAUGGGAGGUAAAUUUCUUCUAAAGCUAAAUACUGGCCAGAGACCGAUAGCGCACAAGUAGAGUGAUCGAAAGAUGAAAAGCACUUUGGAAAGAGAGUCAAACAGCACGUGAAAUUGUUGAAAGGGAAGCGCUUGCAGCCAGACUUGCCCGUAGUUGCUCACCCAGGCUUUUGCCCGGGGCAUUCUUCUGCGGGCAGGCCAGCAUCAGUUUAGGCGGUCGGAUAAAGGUCUCUGUCAUGUAACUUCCUUCGGGUAGAACUUAUAGGGGAGACGAAAUGCGACCAGCCCGGACUGAGGACCGCGCUUCGGCUAGGAUGCUGGCGUAAUGGCUGUAAGCGGCCCGUCUUGAAACACGGACCAAGGAGUCUAACAUCUAUGCGAGUGUUUGGGUGCCAAGCCCGAGCGCGUAAUGAAAGUGAACGGAGGUGGGAACCCUUUGGGUCCACCAUCGACCGACCCUGAUGUCUUCGGAUGGAUUUGAGUAAGAGCAUAGCUGUUGGGACCCGAAAGAUGGUGAACUAUGCUUGAAUAGGGUGAAGCCAGAGGAAACUCUGGUGGAGGCUCGCAGCGGUUCUGACGUGCAAAUCGAUCGUCAAAUUUGGGCAUAGGGGCGAAAGACUAAUCGAUCUCCUGCCGAAG
This 860-nucleotide ribosomal RNA is filed under the name Stagonospora poaceicola. RNAcentral describes it as "Stagonospora sp. DST-2020a partial large subunit ribosomal RNA". It matches the Rfam family "Eukaryotic large subunit ribosomal RNA", at positions 74 to 950 of the family's 3401-position model. The record is from RNAcentral. Lineage: Eukaryota; Fungi; Ascomycota; Dothideomycetes; Pleosporales; Massarinaceae.